AGCUUGCUGACGAAUUCAAGUGUGAAUGUGGAAUGUUUGAACAUUUUGGCAUGGUGUGCAGCCAUGCACUGAAGGUAAUGAUACAGCUUGGUCUGCAGGAGGUUCCAGCCGGGCAAAUACUGAAGCGUUGGACAAGGGAUGCAAGACUCGGUGACAACAAUGCGGAUGCAUAUGCUCUUGCGAUGGAUCAACUAAGAAAUGUGAAAACAUUGCUUUGCGGCGCCAUCAAAGAAGAGACCAGCGG
Molecule: long non-coding RNA, 244 nt
Organism: Triticum aestivum (bread wheat)
Lineage: Eukaryota; Viridiplantae; Streptophyta; Magnoliopsida; Poales; Poaceae
Exons: 3
Source: RefSeq, a predicted model, not a curated record